AAGUUCCGGUACGUACGGACAAAAUUCCUGCAAGAAGCAUCAUUUCCAUCCGGUUUCAUCGUCAUUAAUUCGGAAAAAGAGAAUCAGAAGGGGGAGUAUCAGCCGUGAUGAGCAGGCAGAACCAGAUACCAAUUUGAAGGCCAAGCGGCAGAAGCUUUUAAAGUGAGAUCGUCAAGAUGUUCAGGCAACUGCAAAGAGAAAUAGGAUGACAGACGAGGAGCCUUAAUUGGAGGAUUAAUUGACCAAGCGAGCCUGUUGUACAAUUCUCUACCAUCAGUUAUCACGUACAACCCUGCGACGGUGAGACCAUCAACUCCUCAGAUGUGAAGGAUGUCACUUCUAUUCAAACUGUACCCAAACAGUCAACUGUUUGUGUGGGGUACACCCCAUCCCUGUGACAAGAAGCUGUAGAGUGUGAGGAGAAGAUACUCAUGAAGAAGGAACUGAAUAAUCUCAUUGUAGUUACUCACUGAAGAGUGACAAAGUCACUUCCAAAACACCAGGGGAGGUAAGCCUGUUGUGGAAGACGUACCUCAAACUAUGGUAAUCAGCUCUUACAAAGGUGUUGUCAAGGACAUCACUGACACUGCCCAGAAUGAACUACAAUUGCAGCAACUUUGUAGUGUACAUUAUACAACUACAAGCAUUGUUUGCUACCUAUCUGAUUCAGAUAAAAACAAGUGAUAACUCUGUAGCUCAGCUAUAGGUAUGGAGCACAGACAGUCACUUUGUCAUAUUUAAUCUGAUAACGUUGUGUCCAUGCAUCUCUUAAAUCAAAAGGUUUAUCUUUAUAGCAGUGUUAACAUUGGUUCACUUCCUAGAACAUAAAGUGCUGAUAUUUUCAGGUUUGGUAAUAACAUACAAGAAUGUCCUAUCAAAAAAUCAUUACAAUGUUUGAAAGCCAUUUGUGUCUUGUGAAAUAACCAUAUGUAUUAUGCGUUGAACUAACCCUGAUGCUCAUAAUAUUCAAGUACCUGCUGAGGGGAGAUAACUCUAAUCCUACAUCUAUAAGUAAUACUGUGUUCAUUUUAAUAAAUGAUAUCUUGCCCAUGCGAUCAUUUGAAAUGUGAGGUAGAAGUAAACUGAUUGAGUUAAAAAUAUAUGUGGGCCAUUUCUCAUACCUUAAAUUGAGCUAUUUAAUUUUGCUAAGUUGUUUUUCUGUGCCAAUAUUAUACCAGCGCAGAGACCGUAUAAUGAGAUAUGGUCUCUGGUUAUCUGUUAAGGUUUGAAGACAUAAAAAUGUACCUGAUGCUGAAAGUUUUGUUCUUAUUAUCUAACAAAAGGUUGCAAGUUUAUUGAGGAUGAACUUACUACAUGUCGUACCUACAUGGAAGCGGUAGUGGCCUACUCCUCUCAAAACUGUUAAUAGUUAUGUGGUUGCACUGCAAACAUGCUUUGUUGUUGGGACAUAUGGGUCAAUAGCCUGUAAUGUCUGUUUGACUGUCGAAUGUAACGUGUAUAUUUCCCUCUGACAAAAGGUGAAGAAAACGCAGUGUGUAAACAGACAUAGAUAUAGUUGCAAAAGACAUUAAAAUCAUAUCUUAGUUCUUGCUACCACUGAACAAAGUGGUUGCAAGAAAUCAGACCUAAUUUUAAUGAGAUUGAGCACCCCCAGAAAUGAUUCAGUGACUAAUGAAACAAAUGCUUGAUUGAAAUUUCUGACAAAAUGAGCUGCAAUGAAUGAAUGUCAUCGGUAAGGACAACCCUCUGACAAUAAGAAACCACCACCAUUGUAGAGAAUACUGCACGUGCAUGCCACGGCGAGCUCUAACAUCAAACAGGAACACUCACAUCCUUUUGAUGGAACACCAUUCUUGUCAUAAUCACCACUGCCAUUACAGUUGAAAUUAAUGGUGACAAUACAAUUCGUUAUCUCAGGGGGUGCUUAACUUUUUUCAAGGAGUAUAUAUCAAGCCUUAUGAAAUACUUCCAUUCAAAAACAAACAUACUAGACACUAGGGGCCUACAUUUUUCUUUCUUUCUUUGCACUUAAAAGAAACGCUCGACACAUUUUGUCACUGCUACUGGCCCUCACCCGCCAUUUCUUACGUAAGAACAGGAUUAGAGGAUGAGGUAGGAUAUAAGCCCUUUACUUGACUCACUGAAAAUAUCAAAUUCAUAGUUUUGGACAACUUUGCCAGACUGUAAUAAGCAAAUCUGGACCAGACAAUCCAGUGAUUGACAUUUUGAGCAUCACUCCAUGCAAUUGGGGUACGAUGACAUGCAUCAACCAAGUCGGCAAGUUUGACAACCCAAUCACAUUAGUCACUACUUCACAUCUCUCAGGGGGCACAGAUGGCCCAGUUGUCUAAGGGGCCACAUUUCGCUGUGCAGAGUUGUGUCCAUUGGGCACACCAGAAUUGUGGUG
This 2368-nucleotide long non-coding RNA is filed under the name Haliotis rufescens (red abalone). RNAcentral's name for it is "uncharacterized LOC124120682". Lineage: Eukaryota; Metazoa; Mollusca; Gastropoda; Lepetellida; Haliotidae. The record is from RNAcentral.